UACAGAGGUCUCAAGCGUUGUUCGGAUUCAUUGGGCGUAAAGGGUGCGUAGGUGGCGCGGUAAGUCGGGUGUGAAAUCUCGGAGCUUAACUCCGAAAUUGCAUUCGAUACUGCCGUGCUUGAGGACUGGAGAGGAGACUGGAAUUCAUGGUGUAGCAGUGAAAUGCGUAGAGAUCAUGAGGAAGACCAGUGGCGAAGGCGGGUCUCUGGACAGUUCCUGACACCGAGGCACGAAGGCCAGGGGAGCAAACGGG
RNAcentral lists this ribosomal RNA (253 nucleotides) under uncultured bacterium. Its description in RNAcentral is "partial 16S ribosomal RNA". It matches the Rfam family "Bacterial small subunit ribosomal RNA", at positions 524 to 776 of the family's 1533-position model. The record is from RNAcentral.